UACGUAGGGGGCAAGCGUUGUCCGGAUUUAUUGGGCGUAAAGCGCGUGUAGGCGGCCAGAUAGGUCUGCUGUGAAAACUCGAGGCUCAACCUCGAGCUGUCGGCGGAAACCAUCUGGCUAGAGUCCGGAAGAGGAGAGUGGAAUUCCUGGUGUAGCGGUGAAAUGCGCAGAUAUCAGGAGGAACACCAAUAGCGAAGGCAGCUCGCUGGGACGUUACUGACACUGAGGCGCGAAAGCGUGGGGAGCGAACAGG
This 253-nucleotide ribosomal RNA is filed under the name uncultured bacterium. RNAcentral's name for it is "partial 16S ribosomal RNA". It matches the Rfam family "Bacterial small subunit ribosomal RNA", at positions 524 to 776 of the family's 1533-position model. The record is from RNAcentral.